CCGGCGCACGGGUGCGUAACGCGUAUAAAACUUACCUUUUACAGAGGGAUAGCCUUUAGAAAUGAAGAUUAAUACCUUAUAGUAUUAAGAUUUGGCAUCAAAUUUUAAUUAAAGAUUUAUCGGUAAAAGAUGGCUAUGCGUCCUAUUAGCUAGAUGGUGAGGUAACGGCUCACCAUGGCAACGAUAGGUAGGGGUCCUGAGAGGGAGAUCCCCCACACUGGUACUGAGACACGGACCAGACUCCUACGGGAGGCAGCAGUGAGGAAUAUUGGGCAAUGGAGGCAACUCUGACCCAGCCAUGCCGCGUGCAGGAAUAAGGUCCUAUGGAUUGUAAACUGCUUUUAUUCGGGAAGAAACCCUUGGACGUGUCCAAGCUUGACGGUACCGAAAGAAUAAGCACCGGCUAACUCCGUGCCAGCAGCCGCGGUAAUACGGAGGGUGCAAGCGUUAUCCGGAAUCAUUGGGUUUAAAGGGUCCGCAGGCGGUCAAUUAAGUCAGAGGUGAAAUCCCAUCGCUUAACGAUGGAACUGCCUUUGAUACUGGUUGACUUGAGUCAUAUGGAAGUAGAUAGAAUGUGUAGUGUAGCGGUGAAAUGCAUAGAUAUUACACAGAAUACCGAUUGCGAAGGCAGUCUACUACGUAUGUACUGACGCUCAUGGACGAAAGCGUGGGGAGCGAACAGGAUUAGAUACCCUGGUAGUCCACGCCGUAAACGAUGGACACUAGUUGUUGGGAGUAAUCUCAGUGACUAAGCGAAAGUGAUAAGUGUCCCACCUGGGGAGUACGUUCGCAAGAAUGAAA
Molecule: ribosomal RNA, 801 nt
Filed under: uncultured bacterium
Lineage: Bacteria
Description: bacterial SSU rRNA
Rfam family: Bacterial small subunit ribosomal RNA
Source: RNAcentral